GACGGAGGGGGGCUAGCGUUGUUCGGAAUUACUGGGCGUAAAGAGCGCGUAGGCGGAUUAGUAAGUUGGGAGUGAAAGCCCGGGGCUUAACCUCGGAAUAGCUCUCAAAACUACUAGUCUUGAGUGUAGUAGGGGAUGAUGGAAUUCCUAGUGUAGAGGUGAAAUUCUUAGAUAUUAGGAGGAACACCGGUGGCGAAGGCGGUCAUCUGGGCUACAACUGACGCUGAGGCGCGAAAGCGUGGGGAGCAAACAGG
This 254-nucleotide ribosomal RNA is filed under the name uncultured bacterium. RNAcentral's name for it is "partial 16S ribosomal RNA". It matches the Rfam family "Bacterial small subunit ribosomal RNA", at positions 524 to 776 of the family's 1533-position model. The record is from RNAcentral.